AGUGAACGCUGGCGGUAGGCCUAACACAUGCAAGUCGAACGGCAGCACAGUAAGAGCUUGCUCUUACGGGUGGCGAGUGGCGGACGGGUGAGGAAUACAUCGGAAUCUACUUUUUCGUGGGGGCUAACGUAGGGAAACUUACGCUAAUACCGCAUACGACCUACGGGUGAAAGCAGGGGAUCUUCGGACCUUGCGCGAUUGAAUGAGCCGAUGUCGGAUUAGCUAGUUGGCGGGGUAAAGGCCCACCAAGGCGACGAUCCGUAGCUGGUCUGAGAGGAUGAUCAGCGACACUGGAACUGAGACACGGUCCAGGCGCCUACGUGGGGCAGCAGUGGGGAAUAGUGGACAUGGGGCGCAAGCCUGAGCGAGUCAUCACGCGUGAGUGAAGGAGGCCUUCGGGUUGUAGAGCCCUAUUGUGGUGAAAGGAAAGCAGCAGGUUAAUACCCCGCUGUUCUUACGGUACCCAAAGAAGAAGCACCGGCUAACUUCGUG
Molecule: ribosomal RNA, 492 nt
Filed under: uncultured bacterium
Lineage: Bacteria
Description: partial 16S ribosomal RNA
Rfam family: Bacterial small subunit ribosomal RNA
Source: RNAcentral